GAUGAACGCUAGCUGCAGGCUUAACACAUGCAAGUCGCGGGGCAGCAUGGGGGUUGCUUGCAAUCCCCGAUGGCGACCGGCGCACGGGUGAGUAACGCGUAUUCAACCUGCCCUUCACCACGGGAUAACCCGGCGAAAGUCGGACUAAUACCGUAUGUUGUCCAUUGACGGCAUCCGAUUUGGACGAAAGGCUUGGCGGUGAGGGAUGGGGAUGCGUCCGAUUAGCCAGACGGCGGGGUAACGGCCCACCGUGGCUACGAUCGGUAGGGGUUCUGAGAGGAAGGUCCCCCACACUGGAACUGAGACACGGUCCAGACUCCUACGGGAGGCAGCAGUGAGGAAUAUUGGUCAAUGGGCGUAAGCCUGAACCAGCCAAGUAGCGUGCAGGAUGACGGCCCUAUGGGUUGUAAACUGCUUUUAUGCGGGGAUAAAGUGGCCCACGUGUGGGCUUUUGCAGGUACCGCAUGAAUAAGGACCGGCUAAUUCCGUG
Molecule: ribosomal RNA, 490 nt
Filed under: uncultured bacterium
Lineage: Bacteria
Description: partial 16S ribosomal RNA
Rfam family: Bacterial small subunit ribosomal RNA
Source: RNAcentral